Molecule: long non-coding RNA, 4221 nt
Filed under: Monomorium pharaonis (pharaoh ant)
Lineage: Eukaryota; Metazoa; Arthropoda; Insecta; Hymenoptera; Formicidae
Description: uncharacterized LOC105836761, transcript variant X2
Source: RNAcentral
GCGUAUACGGCAAGCACGUGCUUUAACGUGCUCGCAUGGGGCAGAAAUCCAUUGGGCGAUAAGAAGAAGAAGAAGAAGAAGACGUGCUCGCAUGUAUAAACCAUAACGCGAAUUCGUCGCAGGACAGUUUCCGGACGCGCAAUACGUCACAGGGACACGAUGCACUUGCGUGACGACACGCUGACCGAGAUCGCUCGGGUUCCUCGCGAGUAAGAAAAAGAGGAAGAGAGAGGAGUGAGCAAAGAAAAGAAGGAAGGAAAAAAGAGAAAAAAACGAAGCGGGGGGAGAAACGCGAGAGUACAGAAACUACAGAAGUGCGUGGACGGUUGACUUCAACGAUGUUGCAUCUACGGCGCGGUGCUACGAGAGCGCGGCCAGUUCCGUUUACAGUUUUCCGUCUUUCAAGUAAAGUGCGUGACUGCUAGUGUUCGCGCGAUCGCGGUAACGCAGCCGAGACGGCCAAGUUGUUCGUACGCCGCCACCACCGUCGCAGUCGCUUCUACCACCACCAUCGCCACCGCCACGUCCUUCUCUACUUCAAUCUGUUUGCAAAUCGGUCUUUCGCGGUCUUUCGGUUGCGAGACUCUUGGAGACUUCCGAAUACUCUUCGCUGCCGCCACAUACAGGACAGCCUCCUCCCAUUGGGAUUUCUAUCGAAUACUUGCAUUUACACUCCAUCGCCGAGGAAAUAAUUAAGGAAAGCAGAAUGGGUUUCAGCCAACAGUUUGCUUAGAUGCUUGAACGCAAGAGUUUUAACACAAGAGUUGAUGUACGCUUGUUAAAAAUUCUGUUCAAAGGAAAAAUUUAAAUACUGCGACGUUUUUAUAAGAUUUAAUAUAUGUUAAUAUAGUCAUUUAGUUCUGCAUAGGCUUGUUUAGCAGUACAUUAAUGACAAGAAGAUUUUAAAGUGCUUUAGUCUGGCAAAAUUACCUCACAAUAUAUUUAACGUGAUAUAAACGGAUUUUCAGGAAUUUAUGAAAUUAUUGAACUGUUCGAGUCUGCUUCAAAGAACAAUAUCUGCUAUGAAGAACAAUAUCCGUCAAGUACAUCGUGUUCAAAAGAAGACAGAUUUUUACAUCACAAUCAACAUGAAAAUAAAUUUGAAGAAAUGGUAAAUACAUUUGACGAUGAAAACUGUCACGUUGAUAUAAAUUGUCUAGAUUCAGAUGAUGAUCCAAUUGAUUCAGAUAUUGAAUGGUGUGACGAUACUGUAUCGUUAAACCAUUCAAUAUCUGAAUCAAGUGGAUCACCAUCCGAAUCUAGACACUUUGUAUCAUUCAUUAAUGAUACAAAGUGUUCCAUAGAAGGAAAUGAUACUAAAGAUAUCGAUAAUGUACAAGAAUUUAUUAGAAAUUGGAAAUUGAGAAAUAAUAUUUCUCAUACAGCCGUCACUGAGUUGUUGCGUUAUUUAAAAUUGCAUUCUUGUUUUCAAACUUUACCAAUACAGUCAAAAACAUUAAUGAAUACUCCUCGCUACAAAGUAAAUCUCAUACCUAUGGCACCAGGUAAAUAUGUGCACAUAGGUUUGCAUAAAGGGAUUACAAAUGCAAUUUUAAAUACAAACAAAGAAUUAUUUCUUAAUGGAAUCGAUAUAUCAAUUUUUAUAGAUGGUAUUCCAUUGUUCAAAUCAGGUGUAUCGUUAUGGUCUAUUCUAGGUUUUAUAAAAAAUCUUCGUCACAUUUUUCUUAUUGGAGCUUAUUACGGUCCUGAAAAGCCAUGUGAUAGUACUUUUUAUUUAAGUUUUACUGUAAAUGAUAUUAAAGAUGUAUAUCAAAAUGGUAUUGUAAUUGAAGGAUUACAUUUUAAAUGUCGAAUUAAUUCUAUUAUAGCUGACGCAAAAUCAUAUAUUUUAAAUGUCAAAAGUCACAAUGGAUAUUAUAGUUGUACUAAAUGCCAUAUAAAAGGUGAAUAUGCUUAUAGGCGCGUUUAUAUGUUAAAUAGUCAUGAACAAUUGCGAAACGAUAUUGAAUUUAGAAAUAAAACCGAUUCCAAUUAUCACUUAGGACAUAGUAUUUUAACAGACAUUCCGAAUUUUGAUAUUGUAAAUCAAAUUCCUUUAGAAUAUAUGCACUUAAUAUGCCUUAGUGUUAUGCGUAAACUGUUAUAUUUAGGGUUAAGUAAAUCAAAACAACCAUAUUGUUUAAGUGCGCAAAGUAUACAACGUUUAUCCGGUUUGAUAGAAGACAUUACAUUGUUUGUUCCUAAUGAAUUUUCACGUAAACUUCGAUCAUUACAAUUAGUUAAAUAUUUUAAGGCAACUGAAUACAGAUUAUUACUUUUAUAUGUUGGUCCUGUUGUUUUAAAAAAAAUUUUAAAUGAAGAUUUAUAUAACCAUUUCUUGACUUUACACGUAUCUGUACGAAUUCUAUGUAGUAAUGAUUAUACUCAGUACAUUGAAUAUGCAAGUGAACUGUUACGAAAAUUUGUGGAUGCAGUGCCACAUUUAUAUCAUGAAUGCUUUGUGUUCGAGACUAUAACAAUUAUGUAAGAGUUUUAACUUUUCCCCUUUUUUCGGUUCUGUUUUAUCCGCGAGUAGUGAGAGCUCCUGACAGCCAUCGAACUCCUUAUAGUUCAUUUCUUCGAUGCACCGAUUCGCGCGGCGCUGUCACUAGCUCCUCACGCGCGCGAUUUUCGUUUGCUCUCAUCGCCGGUAACUAUGCAUCUCGGUAACUAUGCAAAUAAACAUACCCAAAAAAGGGCACGUCCGAAUCCAUGCCCAAAUAAGUCUCGAUAUCGGUUCCCUACCGCCCCUUUUCUCGCCUCCGAUCGUAAUUGUUUUACGAUGCAUAAUUCGUCAGUCUCUCGCAGCCCGGCACCUAAAUCAGAUCGUCCAGCAGAUCUCUCCCGUCUUCCGCUGAUCCUAGCUGCGGGGAUUCACUUCCGCCUUUCCCUAUCAUUCGCGCCGUGAUCGUGCGAUUGAGUUAUUAAUUCAUCCGAUCCUGCCAAGCAUUUCUUAAUUUUCAUAACCGCGUGAAUGUUGUGAGUGUUACGUCCGUGCGCAGGUGACCGUAUCUUUCCCGCGAACGUCCUCUGCCUCGCGUACAAGAUCUCCGUCGGAUCGCGCGCAAGAUCUCCGGGUUCGCGAGGGCCUCGAUCUCGUGGCUCUGCAAGAUUUCCGCGUCGAUUAGACAGCGCAAUAUCAGGACGUAUCAAGAUAUCCGACACAUUGUAAAAGAUACGGUUCGCCCCUCGCUUCGAGCGUUCGGUUUUGAAUAAAUAAUUCAGUGUGAGUGACACCAACGCCUCCUCUUUAUUCCUAUCACCUCCCGUAAACCUCCCGCAUUCCUGACCACUCACUUCGCGUCUCUAUCGGAACGGAUCCCGGCAUUUCCCUACGUGCGAUCGCGUUUACCCUACGCACGCGCGAACACUUUGUAUCACAUAAUAUGCAUGGAUUGAUACAUAUUGUACAACAUGUAAAAACAUUUGGACCUUUAGACAAUUACAGUGCCUUUAAAUAUGAAAAUUUCUUACAGUAUCUGAAACGAAUAGUUAAAAAGUAUGCGCAACCUUUACAACAAUUGUAUAAUCGAUAUCACGAAAUAAGACCUGAUGUAAAAAAACUGAUUCUCGUACAACUGAACUUAUAAUCAACGAAUCGCAAAAUGAUUAUUGUAUUUUGCCCAAUGAGAAAAGAGGACCUUUGUAUGUAGAGGCUACUUCAAUUAAUUAUCGUUUUCGAGUACAUACAAUAAAUGAUAAUUGUUGUUUAUUAACAAAUGGAGAUAUUGUAAAAAUAACGAAAUUUUCUUAUGACUUUGAGAAGAAAGAAUCAGUCUUUUGUGGGAAAAUAUAUGAGCAAAAAAAAAUUUAUUUAUAAUUCCAUGUGAAUCUUCGUUACUUCAAAUUUAUGUUGUUUCUCAGCUUUCCCAAGAAAAAAUGUGGUCUUUGGAUAAAAUUAAAAAUAAAAUGUUUAUAUUGCCAUAUAAAAACAAAUUUGUUGUGUUACCAGUGUUACAUAAUGAAGAUGAUACAGAAAAAUUUAUGUUAUAAGCUUGUUUGUACAUUAAAAUUUGUCUAAUUUGUAUAAUAAAAAAUAUUGAAAUAUAUUGUUACGUCCAGCCUUAUAGGAUUUAACUCUUUAUUCGGUAGGAAGGAUAUUUCAAGGAGAACAGGUAAGGCAGAGGGAAGAACGUAACAAAACGUAUAGAAUUCCCGUAGACACACAGUUUAAGAGAGGGUAUGUGCCUCGGGUCGAACGCACUUUUUAUGACUCAAAAA